RNAcentral lists this ribosomal RNA (446 nucleotides) under uncultured bacterium. Its description in RNAcentral is "bacterial SSU rRNA". It matches the Rfam family "Bacterial small subunit ribosomal RNA", at positions 329 to 792 of the family's 1533-position model. The record is from RNAcentral.
UGCCAGACUCCUACGGGAGGCAGCAGUGGGGAAUAUUGCACAAUGGGGGAAACCCUGAUGCAGCGACGCCGCGUGAGCGAUGAAGUAUUUCGGUAUGUAAAGCUCUAUCAGCAGGGAAGAAAAUGACGGUACCUGACUAAGAAGCCCCGGCUAACUACGUGCCAGCAGCCGCGGUAAUACGUAGGGGGCAAGCGUUAUCCGGAUUUACUGGGUGUAAAGGGAGCGUAGACGGCAUGGCAAGUCAGAUGUGAAAGCCCGGGGCUCAACCCCGGGACUGCAUUUGAAACUGUCAGGCUGGAGUGCAGGAGAGGUAAGUGGAAUUCCUAGUGUAGCGGUGAAAUGCGUAGAUAUUAGGAGGAACACCAGUGGCGAAGGCGGCUUACUGGACUGUAACUGACGUUGAGGCUCGAAAGCGUGGGGAGCAAACAGGAUUAGAUACCCGUGUA